RNAcentral lists this ribosomal RNA (54 nucleotides) under Entrophospora claroidea. RNAcentral describes it as "partial 18S ribosomal RNA". It matches the Rfam family "Eukaryotic small subunit ribosomal RNA", at positions 1778 to 1831 of the family's 1831-position model. Lineage: Eukaryota; Fungi; Glomeromycota; Glomeromycetes; Entrophosporales; Entrophosporaceae. The record is from RNAcentral.
GGAAGUAAAAGUCGUAACAAGGUUUCCGUAGGAGGACCUGCGGAAGGAUCAUUA